AGUAGGGAAUCUUCCGCAAUGGACGAAAGUCUGACGGAGCAACGCCGCGUGAACGAAGAAGGCCUUCGGGUCGUAAAGUUCUGUUGUUAGGGAAGAACAAGUACCAGAGUAACUGCUGGUACCUUGACGGUACCUAACCAGAAAGCCACGGCUAACUACGUGCCAGCAGCCGCGGUAAUACGUAGGUGGCAAGCGUUGUCCGGAAUUAUUGGGCGUAAAGCGCGCGCAGGUGGUUCUUUAAGUCUGAUGUGAAAGCCCACGGCUCAACCGUGGAGGGUCAUUGGAAACUGGGGAACUUGAGUGCAGAAGAGGAAAGUGGAAUUCCAAGUGUAGCGGUGAAAUGCGUAGAGAUUUGGAGGAACACCAGUGGCGAAGGCGACUUUCUGGUCUGUAACUGACACUGAGGCGCGAAAGCGUGGGGAGCAAACAGGAUUAGAUACCCUGGUAGUCCACGCCGUAAACGAUGAGUGCUAAGUGUUAGAGGGUUUCCGCCCUUUAGUGCUGCAGCUAAC
RNAcentral lists this ribosomal RNA (512 nucleotides) under Peribacillus simplex. Its description in RNAcentral is "bacterial SSU rRNA". It matches the Rfam family "Bacterial small subunit ribosomal RNA", at positions 353 to 856 of the family's 1533-position model. Lineage: Bacteria; Bacillati; Bacillota; Bacilli; Caryophanales; Bacillaceae. The record is from RNAcentral.